AAAGCAAUAUUUCCAGGAAUCAUUUCUAGAAUAUUAUGUUACUCUAGUAUCGAACAUCCCAAUUGUUAACAGGGUGUGUAGUUUUUUUUCAGAGUGUGAAAUUGGACCUUGGAGUUGUGUGACUGUACCUGCUUCUAGCUUUGAUCAUUGAUGAUAGUUUUUGUUGCUUUUUUGGAACUAGCAAGAGAGUAGCAUGGUGUGA
Molecule: small nucleolar RNA, 202 nt
Filed under: Cavia porcellus (domestic guinea pig)
Lineage: Eukaryota; Metazoa; Chordata; Mammalia; Rodentia; Caviidae
Description: Small nucleolar RNA U3
Rfam family: Small nucleolar RNA U3
About the family: Small nucleolar RNAs (snoRNAs) are involved in the processing and modification of rRNA in the nucleolus. There are two main classes of snoRNAs: the box C/D class, and the box H/ACA class. U3 snoRNA is a member of the box C/D class.
Source: Rfam by way of RNAcentral